GUUCUAUAUCAGAAUCUUCAUAUUUUAUUUUUACUUUUUUCUUUUUCUUUUUCAGGUUAAACAUUUCAAACAGGAUUAACUUCAGUAGAGUUAAAGAAUCUGUUGAAACUAGACCUUCAAUUCUCUUCACAACUUGCUGCAAUAGUAUACAGCUUACAUCAAAUUUACAGAUCAAACAUUUUAGAUAGUAAAUACUGGAUGAUAUAAAUAAAAACAGUGCUGUACAAACUAUUUUGUGAGACAUUUUAACAUGGCAAUGCAUUUUUUUUUUAUGUUUAUAUAUAAUUUUUAUUAAAAGUAUUUCUAUCUAAAGUUUUUAUUGUUAAUAUCAUCAUAAUCAAUCUAGCGUUUCUUCUUUGGCUUCUUUGCAUCUCUUGUUGCGUCAUGAAGAUUUUCAGUUGGCGUCACAGGAG
RNAcentral lists this long non-coding RNA (413 nucleotides) under Mytilus galloprovincialis (Mediterranean mussel). The record is from RNAcentral. Lineage: Eukaryota; Metazoa; Mollusca; Bivalvia; Mytilida; Mytilidae.